Styela clava is the source of this 305-nucleotide small nucleolar RNA. RefSeq annotates it as small nucleolar RNA SNORA53. The record is from RefSeq and is a predicted model, not a curated record. Lineage: Eukaryota; Metazoa; Chordata; Ascidiacea; Stolidobranchia; Styelidae.
UGCACACUCCCUUAGAUCUGCAUUCCGCGGCAUCCCUGGUGUUGGUAUUAUCUGGCUCCUUAUCGAUGCCAGAUUUUAAUCCCAUCAUUCGGGGCGGUGUUUCCCCUUUUCCCUUGAUGUGGUUUCUGGCACAUUUAUCUAUUUGUUCCAGUUAAAUCUCAUCGGGGAGGGGGAAUCCCGGCCGCAGCAACUUAGUUGUACUAUGGAAUGUUUUUGAGUCAUUAGUGUGCAAUAAUAACAUACCUGCUACUGCUGUAAUUGAUGGUGCUUCCUCCUAGCACUGGGUUCCUGUAUUAGCGGACAUU